RNAcentral lists this non-coding RNA (93 nucleotides) under Asterionellopsis glacialis. The record is from RNAcentral. Lineage: Eukaryota; Bacillariophyta; Plagiogrammaphyceae; Rhaphoneidales; Asterionellopsidaceae.
GAAUUAAAAAAAACAAAAAAAAACAAAAAAACAAAAAACAAGAAAGCUUCACACUGUUGUCACAAUUUUAAUACUUGUCAAUUAUUUCCAUCA